RNAcentral lists this small RNA (533 nucleotides) under Histoplasma capsulatum. RNAcentral's name for it is "hypothetical RNA". Lineage: Eukaryota; Fungi; Ascomycota; Eurotiomycetes; Onygenales; Ajellomycetaceae. The record is from RNAcentral. RNAcentral also lists the same sequence under 1 other name.
UGUUUGGUUUUUCACUCCAGCGGUCCUGAAGUGCUGCACUCACUCAACCCAGAGGAUGAUGGCCAGCAACUAGUUGGUUACGAGGCAUGCAAUCAGGAUCCAGCGAUGCGUUCCCCGACACCUCACAACUAUGCAACUAUGGACGAGGUGAGGCUUGUAUAUCCCGCGUAUUAUGGCUAGGUUUGAAGCAAGAAACUCAAUAUUUACAGCAGUGUCUCGAAAUACGACAGCUACUCAAGGACUUGCUGGGUUAACUAUGACAUCUGCCCACCGCUACAACUACGACAAAAGGCCAGCAGUUUAAAUGAAAGUGUGAUUAAUGGCAGUGGAUAUCAAAUUGACAACGCAUUUAGCAUGAAAACAGAAUAAAAUAAAAUAUGCAAAGGACGUAGAAACAAAGUAUCCUUACCAAAUAUAUCCGCUCCCAAUUUUUUGGUCUCCCAGUGAUGAAACAUGGAACGAGAAGCAUAUACUUAAAAUAAAUACAAAAGAAUACACAGGGGAAGAAGAAGGAGGAAAUAAUAAAAACACCA